Durio zibethinus is the source of this 613-nucleotide non-coding RNA. The record is from RefSeq and is a predicted model, not a curated record. NCBI's taxonomy places the organism in Eukaryota, Viridiplantae, Streptophyta, Magnoliopsida, Malvales, Malvaceae.
CCUUCUUAUGCGCUUUCUUAUUAUUAUUUUUUAUCAAUUUAAUGAUAAUAUCACAUGACAUGGUCAGUUUGCUUGCAGUCUUAAAGAAUAUUUUCCCCUGUAUUUGGUGGUUCUUUUAAAUAAUUUAUCUUUUCUGAAGGUAGAGGAUGCAGUUGCAUUUGCAAUGGCUAAAAAUCGACGCCAGAAUUUGCUAAAAACUGAUGAGGUGAAACUACCAACUGAGGGUCAAUUUGAGGCAUUUGAAUUGAGCCAAGAGGAGUCUGAAGAUGUUCGUUUUAAGCAGGUAUGAUGUUUCCUUUAUACUAACUUCUUUUGCUAAGAAAAAUUAUAAUGUUGUUAAGGCUCGAAGCUAAUUAUUUUUUUCUCUUGGCUCUUAUGUUCAAGUUUAUCUUCAUUGCAAGCAUUUUAAAAGCGAUUAGUCACAAGAAAUCUUCAGCUAGUCUUCUCCCUAGGAGUAUGGUCUUGGAUAAAGUACUUCACACUCUUAUGAUUUAGGGAAAGUAAUAACAUUGUGAGAAAACAAGUCUCUUUUUAUAUUUUAAAAAUGUAGAAUAACUUUGGUGUUGAUGGAUCUUGUACAUAUAGCAUGAGGCAGACUUGAAGGUUGUGAAAU